ACGCUCGACACCUACAGGAGGCAGCAGUGGGGAAUAUUGCACAAUGGGGGAAACCCUGAUGCAGCGACGCCGCGUGGAGGAAGAAGGUCUUCGGAUUGUAAACUCCUGUUGUUGGGGAAAAAGAGGAUGGUACCCAACAAGGAAGUGACGGCUAACUACGUGCCAACAGCCGCGGUAAUCUGAGCGGGCUGGCAAGGC
Molecule: ribosomal RNA, 198 nt
Filed under: uncultured bacterium
Lineage: Bacteria
Description: partial 16S ribosomal RNA
Rfam family: Bacterial small subunit ribosomal RNA
Source: RNAcentral